CAAAAAGAGAAAAAAAAAUCUUCUUCGUCUGCUCAAAAACCCCUGUGGAAGCGCUGUGAGAGAAUAGAGUUUCUUCCCAUCACAAUAAAACCUUAUCUCUCCAUUUCUAAGCGGCUCCCCCCACAAUUUCCUGUCAAACGCAGGACGUUGUGGAUAAAAAUCCUUCCAUUUUUCUCCAUUUAAGGUUCUCGUUUCGGUUUCUUGUGGUUCAGCGUCGAUGGAGUCGAAGGAGUUUGCUCAAGCAUCGUCGCUGCAGAACUCCAUAUCCUCAGGUUCUUCUUCGACUUCUUCGUCGUCCUAUUCCUCUUCUUCCGUUGAUUCCCCUGUCGAUACGCCGUCCAUCGAUAACCCGGCGGGGGAGGUUGGGGAAAUUGAAACCGGCCAAGGUGGCGAUGAGGGUGGGAGUGACGGCGGUGGGUCGGAAACUGAAGGGUUUUUGAGUGGGGAGGAGGAAUUUGAAUCUGCUGUAGAUAGACCGAUUGUGGGGUAUGCUGAGGAAGAAACCCUCGGGAAAUCCGCCCAAGGGGGAGAUAGUGGUAGUCCUUUUGUGAGUUUUUCGGAAUUUUCGACUCCGGUUAGUGUUAGGCCAAUUGCGAAGGUUUCAGUUGAUAGUGACGUUGAGGAGGAGGAGGAGGAUGUUUCUGGAGGUUCCGGAGUUGGCCUCCAGAUAGAGGAAAGUGAUAAUAAUAAAGUGGUUGGAGGAGACGAUUUUCCUGAGAGUAAGAAGGGGAAUGAAGUUGAGAAUCCAGUGGAAAAGGAGGAGGAUUCGGGCAACCUGGUGAACGAAGAAACAAAUGAGUUGUCGGGGAACCCAAUAGAUGGUAAUGUGCCUGAAAGUUCAGUCGCUGAGGCUGUUGGCUCUGUGCCUGAGGAAGAACUCAAUGGUGGGAAGCAGGUGCCAGAAGGGGUUCAAUGGAAUGAUGUGAUAGUGGAACAGCAGGAAAAUGAGGCUUCAGAUGGAGGGCAAGAAGCAGAAUUGAGUAAAGACAGUCUCCCGGCUGAGAUGCAGGCAGAUGAAGGGAUUGAAUUGAAUGACAAGGUGGCUGCUAAAGAUGUCGAACAAUUAAAAGAGCUGGAAACUGGUGCUUCUCUUGACAACAAAGCUGAGUUGGGUGACCAAGCGAGUUCUAAGGUUUUAGAACUAGCAGAUGAGAAACAAGAAGUGGAAAGGCAGGCCGAUGGGGAGAUUGAAUUGAAUGAAAAGGUGUCUGCUGAAGAUGGAGAGCAAUUGAAGGAAUUGGAAACUGGUUCACCAGUUGAGGACAAAGCCGUUCUGGAUGAUAAUGAAAACUUUAAGGUUUUAGAACCAGCGGAUGGAGGACAAGAAGUAGAAAUGGAGAAAGGAAGUCCGGUGGCUGAGAAGGAAGCAGAUGGGGGGACUAAAUUUAAUGACAAGAUGAAUGCUGAAGAUGGAGAACAGCUAGAGAAAUUGGAAAUUGGUUCUUCUGUUGUCAACAAAGCUGACCUGGAUGAUCAAGCAAACUCCAAGGUUUCAGAACUAGCAGAUGAAUUUUCUAGUGGAUGUUUAGAUGACAAAACCUUGCAUGAAAGUUCUCUGGUAUCAGGGACAGAUGCUGUUGGUAAUCUGGAGGAAAUAAAGGACGUGGGAAAUAGGGUGUCUGUAGAUUUGGUACGUGAAGGUACCAAAUUGGAUAAUGGGUUUGAUAAUGUUGGGCAUGAGGCGGACGAGUUUGUUGACCAUAAUUCUGUGGUUUCAAACUCUGAGAUUGACAAUAAAGAGCCGGAAAUCAGUAUUCCAGUUGCAACAGAAGAAGCAGUGCUUCAUGGAGACAGAGGAUUUGCUGCUACUGAUAUUGCAAAUCAUGAAAAACUUGCGGCUAAGAAUGUGGAGGAUCAGCAGCCUGAUGAUGGAUUGAGAGAAGCUGUGAGUCUUCUUGAUUCUCCACAUGAGGCAGGUAAUGAAAAAGACUCUAAAGACGAUUCUAAAAUAAGAGAGAUUGUGGCUGGUGAAGUUGAAUCUGAAUCAUCUCAGGGUGCUACGUCUUUGGUUAAAGAAACCAUUCCGGAUAGUGCUACAGUGGAAGAUAGCAAAAUUUCUGCUACUCCCAAGAUAAUUGAACCAGUUUUGAAUGAAGUAGAUGGAGAAAAGUAUCAUUCAGAUGAAGAGGGUGAUGGUGAAGGUUCUGUUACGGAUGGAGAGACUGAAGGUGAGAUCUUUGGCAGUUCUGAAGCCGCUAGACAAUUCUUGCAGGAAUUGGAAAGAGCCUCGGGAGCUGGUUCACAUUCAGGUGCAGAGAGUUCUAUUGAUCAUUCACACAGAAUAGAUGGCCAGAUUGUCACGGACUCAGAUGAAGCAGACACGGAGGAUGAAGGCGAAGGAAAGGAGAUGUUUGAUUCUGCUGCUUUGGCAGCACUUCUGAAAGCAGCUAGAGAUGCUGGCUCAGAUGGUGGUCCUAUCACCGUGACAUCUCAGGAUGGCUCUCGGCUUUUCUCCAUAGAACGUCCUGCUGGUCCCGCUGGUCUUGGAUCCUCGCUCACAUCUGGAAAAAAUGCUUCCCGCCCAAGUCGGCCUCUCUCUUUUGCCUCAUCAAAUCCUAGAGUGGGGGAUGAUUCUGAAAAUAGAUUGAGCGAAGAGGAGAAAAAUAAACUUCAGAAGUUACAGCAGAUAAGAGUGAAUUUUUUAAGGCUUGUUCAGAGACUAGGUGUUUCUCCGGAUGAUUCAUUAGUAGCACAGGUUCUAUAUCGUUUUGGGCUUGUAGCUGGUAGGGCUACUGGUCAGCUAUUUAGCUUCGAUAAUGCAAAGACUACUGCUAUUCAGCUUGAAGCGGAAGGAAAAGAAGAUUUAGACUUCUCAUUGAACAUACUGGUUAUUGGGAAAACAGGUGUAGGAAAGAGUGCUACAAUAAAUUCAAUUUUUGGGGAAGAUAAGACUCCAAUCAAUGCAUUUGGGCCUGGUACAACCACGGUGAAAGAAAUUGUUGGGACAAUAGAAGGUGUAAAGAUUAGGGUUUUUGAUUCUCCAGGUCUUAGAUCUUCUUCAUCUGAACGUAGCAUUAACCACAAAAUUUUAUCCUCAAUUAAGAAUGUAAUGAAAAAAUCCCCUCCUGAUAUUGUUCUUUAUGUGGACCGGCUGGAUAACCAAACCAGAGAUCUCAAUGAUCUGCUGUUGUUAAGAUCAAUAUCCAGCUCUCUUGGUUCUUCCAUCUGGAAAAAUGCCAUUAUCACUCUGACUCAUGGUGCCUCUGCUCCACCUGAUGGUCCAUCUGGUGUCCCUUUGGGUUAUGAGGUGUUUGUUGCUCAACGAUCUCAUGUUCUUCAGCAAACUGUUGCUCAGGCUGUUGGUGAUCUGCGUAUUCUGAAUCCAACUUUAAUGAACCCAGUUUCGCUUGUUGAGAACCACCCCUCCUGUAGAAAGAAUAGAGAUGGCCAGAAAGUGCUUCCUAAUGGUCAAAGUUGGAGGCCCCAGUUAUUACUUCUAUGUUUCUCUAUUAAAAUUCUAGCUGAAGUGGGAAGUCUCUCAAAAGCUCCAGAGACAUUUGACCACAGGAAGCUUUUUGGCCUCCGUGCCCGUUCACCUCCUCUUCCAUAUUUAUUGUCUGGUUUGUUGCAAUCCCGUGCACACCCGAAACUGUCAUCAGAUCAAGCUGGUGAUAAUGGAGAUUCUGAUAUUGAUUUGGCUGACUUGUCUGAUUCUGAUCAAGAAGAGGAGGAGGAUGAGUAUGAUCAGCUCCCACCUUUCAAGCCUCUCAGAAAAUCUCAGAUUGCUAAGCUUAGCAAAGAGCAAAGGAGGGCAUACUUUGAGGAAUAUGAUUAUCGGGUGAAGCUGCUUCAGAAGAAGCAGUGGAAAGAGGAAUUAAAAAGGAUGAGGGAUAUCAAGAAGAAGGGUCAACUUCCUGCAGAUGAUUAUGGCUACAUGGGGGAAGAUGAUCAGGAAAAUGGCACUCCAGCUGCUGUGCAGGUUCCACUACCUGACAUGGCCCUUCCUCCUUCUUUUGAUGGUGAUAAUCCAGCUUACCAAUUUCGAUUCUUGGAGCCAACGUCUCAGUUUCUGGCGAGGCCAGUCUUGGACACCCACGGUUGGGACCAUGACUGUGGGUAUGAUGGUGUGAACCUUGAACACAGUAUGGCCAUUGUUAGUCGGUUUCCUGCUGCUGUUGCUGUUCAAAUUACAAAGGACAAAAAAGAGUUCAAUAUCCACUUGGAUUCCUCGGUUUCUGCCAAGCAUGGAGAAAAUGGUUCUACUAUGGCAGGUUUUGACAUCCAAAAUAUUGGAAGGCAACUUGCCUACAUCCUUAGAGGAGAGACGAAAUUCAAAAAUUUCAGAAAGAACAAAACAGCUGCUGGGAUAUCAGUGACAUUCCUGGGAGAGAAUGUGUGCCCGGGGUUCAAAGUUGAGGAUCAGAUUACUCUUGGGAAGCGUGUUGUACUGGUAGGUAGCACUGGCACCGUGCGAUCUCAGGGCGAUUCUGCAUUCGGGGCCAAUCUGGAAAUGCGGCUAAGGGAGGCUGACUUUCCAAUCGGACAGGAUCAAUCAUCUCUUGGUCUAUCUCUUGUAAAAUGGAGAGGAGACAUGGCCUUGGGGGCGAACUUUCAGUCGCAGUUUUCCAUUGGACGAAGUUACAAAAUGGCGGUACGUGCAGGGAUCAACAACAAACUAAGUGGACAGAUUUCUGUCAGAACAAGCAGUUCUGACCAACUUCAGAUUGCUCUCCUGGCUAUUCUUCCGGUUGCCAGGGCUAUUUACAACAGCCUACGUCCUGGAGUUGCAGAAAAUUACUCAACCUAUUAGGAUUUGAAGUCAAAGACUCCAUUCUAUUAAUGGCAAACUUAAGCUUUAGGGUGUAGCGGCGGUGAUUUAGGAAUGGUAGGAUAAUAGGGAUAUUCAAUGAAGCUUUUAUUCCUUCAUCAAUUCACUGAGUUUUUUAGAUUUCUACAAUGAGGCCUCUUAUUAUGAAUGACAUUUUUGUUUUCUAUUUCCCUUUUUGAUAUACUUUCAUCCAUAUAUUCUCUCUCUAUAUUAGCUUUAUAUUUGAAAAUGGUUAGCAUGAAAUUAAUGUGUUAAUUAAAUUAAUUAAUAAGAACUAUAUACUUGUGUAACAUGUAACACAAGAACAAGGUACUUGCCAUGCCAUUUAGUCGACUUUUACAAUUUCAGUUAGCUCAA
Momordica charantia (bitter melon) is the source of this 5125-nucleotide RNA transcript. It is a transcript of the gene named translocase of chloroplast 159, chloroplastic, with no coding region annotated. The record is from RefSeq and is a predicted model, not a curated record. Lineage: Eukaryota; Viridiplantae; Streptophyta; Magnoliopsida; Cucurbitales; Cucurbitaceae.